This 253-nucleotide ribosomal RNA is filed under the name uncultured bacterium. RNAcentral's name for it is "partial 16S ribosomal RNA". It matches the Rfam family "Bacterial small subunit ribosomal RNA", at positions 524 to 776 of the family's 1533-position model. The record is from RNAcentral.
GACAGAGGUGCCAAGCGUUAGGCGGAAUUACUGGGCGUAAAGAGUGUGUAGGCGGUGCUCUAAGUUCGGUGUGAAAUCUCCCGGCUUAACUGGGAGGGUGCGCCGGAAACUGGAGUGCUCGAGCGUGGGAGAGGAAAGCGGAAUUCCUGGUGUAGCGGUGAAAUGCGUAGAUAUCAGGAGGAACACCUGCGGUGUAGACGGCUUUCUGGACCAUUGCUGACGCUGAGACACGAAAGCGUGGGUAGCAAACAGG